GUUGGUAACAAGGCUGAUAUGGAUGAAAACAAAAGGGCUGUUCCUACCUCAAAGGGCCAAGCUCUUGCUGAUGAAUAUGGAAUCAAGUUCUUUGAGACAAGUGCAAAGACAAAUUUAAACGUGGAAGAGGUUUUUUUUUCAAUAGCUAGGGAUAUUAAGCAAAGACUGGCAGAUACUGACUCAAGGCCUGAG
This is a long non-coding RNA of Juglans regia (Persian walnut), 192 nucleotides long. RefSeq lists it as uncharacterized. The transcript is spliced from 3 exons. NCBI's taxonomy places the organism in Eukaryota, Viridiplantae, Streptophyta, Magnoliopsida, Fagales, Juglandaceae. The record is from RefSeq and is a predicted model, not a curated record.